AUGACGCAGCCGCCGCGUCUCCUCCCCCUCGUUGAGCAAGCGACCAAGACGCUGCCGCCGCUGGGCAAGAAGACCAAGGGGCGACAGCGCAGGGAGAACCGCCGCGUGGAGAAGAAGGAGUCGCGGCAGGUGACCUUCUCCAAGCGGAAGUCCGGGCUGUGGAAGAAGGCCGCCGAGCUCGCCGUGCUCUGCCGCGCCAGCCUUGCCAUCGUCGUCUUCUCCGAGGCCGGCAAGGCGUUCGCCUUCGGCAGCCCCUCCACCGACGCCGUCCUGGGAUGCGCCGACGCCCUUGCUCCUGUUCCUGCUGCUGACGACGUGGAGUGGGAGGCCCUGGAGGCGCUGUGCCGGGAGACGGAGGCCACGGGCGUGGAGGUCGCGGCGGAGGCCGAGCGGAUGAGCGCCGUCGGCAAGAAGGUGGUGGAGGUGCAGACGCAGGCUGGGAAGCGUUUCUGGUGGGAGGCGGACGUGGAGGCGCUCGGGGAGGCGGAGCUGCCGGUCUUCGCCAGGGCGCUCCAGCGCCUCCGGGACAACGUGCGCCGCCACGCCGACAAGAUGCCCUCAGCUGCUCCACCGCCGCAGUAG
Molecule: ribosomal RNA, 582 nt
Filed under: Triticum aestivum (bread wheat)
Lineage: Eukaryota; Viridiplantae; Streptophyta; Magnoliopsida; Poales; Poaceae
Description: partial small subunit ribosomal RNA
Source: RNAcentral